GGCUGGUUGGCUCAGUGGGUUGAGCGCGGUGCUGAUAACACCGAGAUUGCGCGUUCGAUUCCUGUUUGGUCCG
This 73-nucleotide transfer RNA is filed under the name Apaloderma vittatum (bar-tailed trogon). It matches the Rfam family "tRNA". From Rfam's summary of the family: Transfer RNA (tRNA) molecules are approximately 80 nucleotides in length. Their secondary structure includes four short double-helical elements and three loops (D, anti-codon, and T loops). Lineage: Eukaryota; Metazoa; Chordata; Aves; Trogoniformes; Trogonidae. The record is from Rfam by way of RNAcentral.